UACGAAGGGGACUAGCGUUGUACGGAAUUACUGGGCGUAAAGCGCACGUAGGCGGAUUUGUAAGUCAGGGGUGAAAUCCCGGGGCUCAACCUCGGAACUGCCUUUGAUACUGCAAAUCUCGAGUCCGAUAGAGGUGGGUGGAAUUCCUAGUGUAGAGGUGAAAUUCGUAGAUAUUAGGAAGAACACCGGUGGCGAAGGCGGCCCUCUGGGCCGGGUCUGACGCUGAGGCGCGAAGGCGUGGGGAGCGAUCCGG
RNAcentral lists this ribosomal RNA (253 nucleotides) under uncultured bacterium. Its description in RNAcentral is "partial 16S ribosomal RNA". It matches the Rfam family "Bacterial small subunit ribosomal RNA", at positions 524 to 776 of the family's 1533-position model. The record is from RNAcentral.